AAGACAUGAGACGAGGCCUGUUUUGUCUUAAGCUAUAGAGGAGUUACUUCUAUCUGAAGAAUGGUGCAGCAUCAAGAGAAAUAAUUUCUUGCUUGUGGAUAAUAGAAGCGGAGAUGAAAGAUUUUUGGUAUUCUGUACAGCUCAAAAUUUGAAGUUGCUAUGUUCAUCUCAUAAACUGUGGAUGGAUGGAACAUUUAAAAUUGUACCCCGGUUGUUCAAACAACUGUACACUAUCCAUUCACGGUUUAUGGGUGAAAUCUUUCCUCUUGUGUACUGCCUCAUGCAAGACAAGAGGAAAGAAACUUACAAAAAAGUGUUUCAAGCCAUUAAAUGUGCUACGAACAAUGCAGAACUUGCAUUUAACCCAGCAAUCUGCAUUUUGAAAUUGCAGUCAUGAAAGCCCUGGAGGAAGAGUUCACUAACAAUUCGGUGACAGGCAGCUUCUUACACUUUGGACAAAGCAUAUGGAGAAAGUUCAAAGACGUGGCCUAGUAAGGCACUACAGAACUGUGGACAAAUAAGAAGGUGGAUCAGGCGUAUUGCGGCACUUCCUCUAGUACCACCCGAGGAAGUAAGUAAUGCCUACCUUUGGAUAAAGCAGGAGGAUCCCUCCCAAUAUGUGCCUCAAGCGAUUGAUAUGUACACAUAUUUGGAUAAGACAUACUUGAAUGAGGUGGACGUCCUAUUUGAAAAAAAAAAAUUUGGAACCAUUUUCAUAGUGGGAAUGAAAGAACAACGAAUCAUGUGAAAGGGUGGCAUUCCAAAUUAAACCGAAACCCACCACCUAGAGAUUUUUCUCCAUGAUUUCUUUGAGAUCCAGGUGGAAGAUGAAGGGAAAAGAAACAUGCUUAUUGCAGGUAGAGCAGCAUAUAAAAUCCAUUACGAGCGACUCGGUGGUCUCAAAGAAGAGUUGACAAGAGGGACACGGACCCCGCCAGAUUAUAUAGAUGCAGUGUCAUAUGUCACAACAUUGAAAGGUCUUGAUUGUUGAAUCUGUCAUGUUACAAAAUCAGAAAAUGCAUGGAAAUUUUGUAC
Parasteatoda tepidariorum (common house spider) is the source of this 1035-nucleotide non-coding RNA. Lineage: Eukaryota; Metazoa; Arthropoda; Arachnida; Araneae; Theridiidae. The record is from RefSeq and is a predicted model, not a curated record.